UGAAAUUGAACUCGCUGUGAAGAUGCAGUGUACCCGCGGCAAGACGGAAAGACCCCGUGAACCUUUACUAUAGCUUGACACUGAACAUUGAGCCUUGAUGUGUAGGAUAGGUGGGAGGCUUUGAAGUGUGGACGCCAGUCUGCAUGGAGCCGACCUUGAAAUACCACCCUUUAAUGUUUGAUGUUCUAACGUUGACCCGUAAUCCGGGUUGCGGACAGUGUCUGGUGGGUAGUUUGACUGGGGCGGUCUCCUCCUAAAGAGUAACGGAGGAGCACGAAGGUUGGCUAAUCCUGGUCGGACAUCAGGAGGUUAGUGCAAUGGCAUAAGCCAGCUUGACUGCGAGCGUGACGGCGCGAGCAGGUGCGAAAGCAGGUCAUAGUGAUCCGGUGGUUCUGAAUGGAAGGGCCAUCGCUCAACGGAUAAAAGGUACUCCGGGGAUAACAGGCUGAUACCGCCCAAGAGUUCAUAUCGACGGCGGUGUUUGGCACCUCGAUGUCGGCUCAUCACAUCCUGGGGCUGAAGUAGGUCCCAAGGGUAUGGCUGUUCGCCAUUUAAAGUGGUACGCGAGCUGGGUUUAGAACGUCGUGAGACAGUUCGGUCCCUAUCUGCCGUGGGCGCUGGAGAACUGAGGGGGGCUGCUCCUAGUACGAGAGGACCGGAGUGGACGCAUCACUGGUGUUCGGGUUGUCAUGCCAAUGGCACUGCCCGGUAGCUAAAUGCGGAAGAGAUAAGUGCUGAAAGCAUCUAAGCACGAAACUUGCCCCGAGAUGAGUUCUCCCUGACUCCUUGAGAGUCCUGAAGGAACGUUGAAGACGACGACGUUGAUAGGCCGGGUGUGUAAGCGCAGCGAUGCGUUGAGCUAACCGGUACUAAUGAACCGUGAGG
This 885-nucleotide ribosomal RNA is filed under the name Escherichia coli. RNAcentral's name for it is "partial 23S ribosomal RNA". It matches the Rfam family "Bacterial large subunit ribosomal RNA", at positions 2037 to 2916 of the family's 2925-position model. The record is from RNAcentral. Lineage: Bacteria; Pseudomonadati; Pseudomonadota; Gammaproteobacteria; Enterobacterales; Enterobacteriaceae.